Astatotilapia calliptera (eastern happy) is the source of this 725-nucleotide long non-coding RNA. Lineage: Eukaryota; Metazoa; Chordata; Actinopteri; Cichliformes; Cichlidae. The record is from Ensembl.
AUCAGAACUGACGAGACAGGGAAAAUGUAAACUGAACACACUAAGAUGACACAGACUUUCAAAGUAAAGUAGGAAACACAUAACAGUCACGCAAAAACAACACAUUACCAACGCCAAAUCGUCAAUCCCGGAGGAGCACCUAGACACUCAAAUCCACACACAAUUACGGUCACAGCCGUAACACCCCCUUACCCAAGAAUUAACAUUAACCCCAAAAUGUUUAAUUCAAGGAAACACCCAAAAAAAACAAACAUUUAAAACAUACAACCCCAACGAAAAAUGUUUGUUCCAUGUCCAGCCCAUACGGCACCGGCCACCGUCCCGCAGGCGACGCUGAUGACUGGACGGGUCCUCCAGUGGAAACGGAAAACCGGAGCGGGCCCUCGGAUCCUCCAGCGAAGACAAACGAAGCCGAUGAAGGCUGGAGCGGUCCCUCGGACACUCCAGCGAAGGCGGAUGAAGGCUGGAGCGGUCCCUCGGACCCCCCAGCGAAGGCAAAUGAAGACUGAAGCGGUCCCACGGACCCUCCAGCGGAGGCAGAUGAAACCGAUGGAGGCUGGAGCGGUCCCCCUGACCCUCCAGCAGACGACGAAGGCUGAGGCGGUCCCUCGGACCCCCCAGCGAAGGCAAAUGAAGACUGAAGCGGUCCCACGGACCCUCCAGCGGAGGCAGAUGAAACCGAUGGAGGCUGGAGCGGUCCCCUGACCCUCCAGCAGACGACGAAG